This 380-nucleotide ribosomal RNA is filed under the name uncultured Characiopodium. RNAcentral describes it as "SSU rRNA". It matches the Rfam family "Eukaryotic small subunit ribosomal RNA", at positions 585 to 972 of the family's 1831-position model. Lineage: Eukaryota; Viridiplantae; Chlorophyta; Chlorophyceae; Sphaeropleales; Neochloridaceae. The record is from RNAcentral.
CCAGCUCCAAUAGCGUAUAUUUAAGUUGUUGCAGUUAAAAAGCUCGUAGUUGGAUUUCGGGUGGGUUCUAGCGGUCCGCCUAUGGUGAGUACUGCUAUGGCCUUCCUUUCUGCCGGGGACGGGCUCCUGGGAUUAACUUCUCGGGACUCGGAGUCGGCGUUGUUACUUUGAGUAAAUUGGAGUGUUCAAAGCAAGCCUGCGCUCUGAACAUUUUAGCAUGGAAUAACACGAUAGGACUCUGGCUUAUCUUGUUGGUCUGUAGGACCAGAGUAAUGAUUAAGAGGGACAGUCGGGGGCAUUCGUAUUUCAUUGUCAGAGGUGAAAUUCUUGGAUUUAUGAAAGACGAACUACUGCGAAAGCAUUUGCCAAGGAUGUUUUCA